RNAcentral lists this long non-coding RNA (975 nucleotides) under Canis lupus familiaris (dog). RNAcentral describes it as "lncRNA (ENSCAFG00030002971.1)". The record is from RNAcentral. Lineage: Eukaryota; Metazoa; Chordata; Mammalia; Carnivora; Canidae.
CUGGCCGCCUCAGCCCUCCCCAGCGUGGGUCCCGCGGACUCUGGCUGCCCGCCCCCCCCCCCCAGAGGCCGGUGGGCUGUGCGUUCCCCAGGCGUUCCCAGGCCAGCUGCUGGCUCCGCUUCCCGCUUAGAGCCACCCUGGCCACGCGGACGCGGCCACCCAGGGUUCGCCGCGGGCCGGCGGCGGGGGCCAGCAGGAGGCAGCGGGGGCAGGCAGAGGGCAGGAGCGGGGCACGCGGGACGGACGGACGGACGGACGCUGCCACAGGACUCAGGAUCACCGGCAUCUUCCCGCCUUCGGGCCGUCCCGGCCCCUCCCGGGCGGGGCCAAUUCCCACAGUGGGCUUGGGUAGGAAGGAGCCGGCCGGGCUGCCCCGCCGAGAGGCGCAGCCCCCGCCCGCCCUAUCCCCUCGAGCUCCGCCCUGCUCUCGACUCUCCGGACUUGGACAUGGCUGGAGAGCCCGGGCCGGGCCCUGCGCACCCGGGCCUCAAGCGGCCUCAGGGCACUGCCAGCCCCUGUAGGGUGUAUGAAUACCAAAGGAUCCCUCCACUCAUCAACCGCGUGCCUGUCAGGAUCCGGAGGACCCAGGUGGGCAUGGGGGUCAAAAGCAGCUUCCGUCUUCACACGGGCCCCAGGAAGAGCCACCUGCCCCGGGAGCAAAUAAAGCGGUCAGAGGACAGUGAAGAAAACAGAGGUCCAGAACUCCAGCAGGAGCCCCAGGGCCAGAAGGCCCAUCCAGAAGCAGACAGCUCUGAGGACAGCACAGACCCAAAGGAGGCAGUGAGUGGCCUGGCACCUCCCCCAUCCUCACCCUCCUUGCGUUUGGGUCCUUGUGGCUUCCCUGUGAACAAGGGAGAGACUCAGGUUUGUGCAGGAGCCCACAGUGGUGGCUGAGGGGACACAGGACUUCUGCCACAUGCAAUUCCCAGAAGAUGGCCCUGCACUGCUUUUUAUUCCCUCUCAUCUCGGGCUUGA